This 459-nucleotide ribosomal RNA is filed under the name uncultured bacterium. RNAcentral describes it as "partial 16S ribosomal RNA". It matches the Rfam family "Bacterial small subunit ribosomal RNA", at positions 338 to 795 of the family's 1533-position model. The record is from RNAcentral.
CCUACGGGUGGCAGCAGUGAGGAAUAUUGGUCAAUGGUCGGGAGACUGAACCAGCCAAGCCGCGUGAGGGAUGAAGGUACAGAGUAUCGUAAACCUCUUUUGUCAGGGAACAAAGGCGGGGACGUGUCCCCGGAUGAGUGUACCUGAAGAAAAAGCAUCGGCUAACUCCGUGCCAGCAGCCGCGGUAAUACGGAGGGUGCGAGCGUUAUCCGGAUUUAUGGGGUUUAAAGGGUGCGCAGGCGGUCUGUUAAGUCAGCGGUCAAAGCCCGGGGCUCAACCCCGGCCCGCCGUUGAAACUGGCAGUCGCGAGUUGGAGAGAAGUAUGCGGAAUGCGAGGUGUAGCGGUGAAAUGCAUAGAUAGCGCGCAGAACUCCGAUUGCGAAGGCAGCAUGCUGGCUCCACACUGACGCUGAGGCACGAAAGCGUGGGUAUCGAACAGGAUUAGAUACCCCGGUAGUC